GCGGCCGUAGUCUAGCCUGGUCUAGGAUGGCGGCCUGCCGAGCCAUCCCGGCGGCCGCACCA
This 62-nucleotide transfer RNA is filed under the name Vulcanisaeta moutnovskia 768-28. RNAcentral's name for it is "tRNA-Gly". The record is from RNAcentral. Lineage: Archaea; Thermoproteati; Thermoproteota; Thermoprotei; Thermoproteales; Thermoproteaceae.